GGACGGAGAGUGCAGGACCCUCUGAGGGACUGAGAUACUGGGCCAUGUUGUUGUUCUGUACCUGUGGAAGAAGCACUAAUAUACUUGAAGGAUCAUUUUGU
Molecule: long non-coding RNA, 101 nt
Organism: Lemur catta (Ring-tailed lemur)
Lineage: Eukaryota; Metazoa; Chordata; Mammalia; Primates; Lemuridae
Exons: 3
Source: RefSeq, a predicted model, not a curated record